AUUGAAGUGUUCAAGGCAGGCAGAUAUUUCCAAUACUGCCACCGAAUACAUUAGCAUGGGAUAAUGGAAUAGGACCCUGUCCUUCAUGUUUCGCGUUGGUUGUGCCACGUGCGUGCGCUUCGCGGUGCGCGCGCGUGGCAUGGUUUCGUCUAAAGGAGGACCAGGGUAAUGAUUAAUAGGGAUAGUUGGGGGCAUUAAUAUUUAAUUGUCAGAGGUGAAAUUCUUGGAUUUAUGAAAGAUUAACUUCUGCGAAAGCAUCUGCCAAGGAUGUUUUCAUUAAUCAAGAACGAAAGUUAGGGGAUCGAAGACGAUUAGAUACCGUCGUAGUCUUAACCAUAAACCAUGCCGACCAGCGAUUGGGAGACGUUUCACACGGGAGUGGUCCCCAUGGGGAGAGUGCGUGGGGGGUGGCCGCUUCGUGCGGUGGCCUCCUCGCCUUUCCCUUUUGGGGGCUGCCCCCACUAAAGGAUGACUCCCCUAGCACCUUGUGAAAA
This 494-nucleotide ribosomal RNA is filed under the name Acanthamoeba astronyxis. Its description in RNAcentral is "SSU rRNA". It matches the Rfam family "Eukaryotic small subunit ribosomal RNA", at positions 765 to 1098 of the family's 1831-position model. The record is from RNAcentral. Lineage: Eukaryota; Discosea; Longamoebia; Acanthamoebidae.